This 253-nucleotide ribosomal RNA is filed under the name uncultured bacterium. RNAcentral's name for it is "partial 16S ribosomal RNA". It matches the Rfam family "Archaeal small subunit ribosomal RNA", at positions 474 to 727 of the family's 1478-position model. The record is from RNAcentral.
UACCAGCACCCCGAGUGGUCGGGACGUUUAUUGGGCCUAAAGCAUCCGUAGCCGGUUCUACAAGUCUUCCGUUAAAUCCACCUGCUUAACAGAUGGGCUGCGGAAGAUACUAUAGAGCUAGGAGGCGGGAGAGGCAAGCGGUACUCGAUGGGUAGGGAUAAAAUCCGUUGAUCCAUUGAAGACCACCAGUGGCGAAGGCGGCUUGCCAGAACGCGCUCGACGGUGAGGGAUGAAAGCUGGGGGAGCAAACCGG